UACGAAGGGUGCAAGCGUUGUUCGGAUUUAUUGGGCGUAAAGCGCGCGCAGGCGGAUUUUUAAGUCAGGUGUGAAAUCUCGAGGCUUAACCUCGAAACAGCGCCUGAAACUGGAAGUCUUGAAUGCUGGAGAGGGAAGGGGAAUUUCUCGUGUAGGGGUAAAAUCCGUAGAUAUGAGAAGGAACACCAGAGGCGAAGGCGCCUUCCUGGCCAGAUAUUGACGCUGAGGCGCGAAAGCGUGGGGAGCAAACAGG
RNAcentral lists this ribosomal RNA (253 nucleotides) under uncultured bacterium. Its description in RNAcentral is "partial 16S ribosomal RNA". It matches the Rfam family "Bacterial small subunit ribosomal RNA", at positions 524 to 776 of the family's 1533-position model. The record is from RNAcentral.